AGAGUUUGAUCAUGGCUCAGAUUGAACGCUGGCGGCAUGCCUAACACAUGCAAGUCGAACGGUAACAGGUCUUCGGAUGCUGACGAGUGGCGGACGGGUGAGUAACGCGUAGGAAUCUGUCUUUGAGUGGGGGACAACCCAGGGAAACUUGGGCUAAUACCGCAUAAGCCCUGAGGGGGAAAGCGGGGGAUCUUCGGACCUCGCGCUGGAAGAGGAGCCUACGUCUGAUUAGCUAGUUGGUAGGGUAAAGGCCUACCAAGGCGACGAUCGGUAGCUGGUCUGAGAGGACGACCAGCCACACUGGGACUGAGACACGGCCCAGACUCCUACGGGAGGCAGCAGUGGGGAAUUUUUCGCAAUGGGGGCAACCCUGACGAAGCAAUGCCGCGUGAAUGAAGAAGGCCUUCGGGUUGUAAAGUUCUUUCGUGGAGGACGAAAAGGUGGGUGCUAAUAUCGCCUGCUGUUGACGUGAAUCCAAGAAGAA
Molecule: ribosomal RNA, 484 nt
Filed under: uncultured bacterium
Lineage: Bacteria
Description: bacterial SSU rRNA
Rfam family: Bacterial small subunit ribosomal RNA
Source: RNAcentral